This 14388-nucleotide long non-coding RNA is filed under the name Cinara cedri. The record is from RNAcentral. Lineage: Eukaryota; Metazoa; Arthropoda; Insecta; Hemiptera; Aphididae.
CCAUGUCAGGUACAGAACCGCAUUCACUGUCGACUCUACCCCGAAGACAAAAUUUCAUAUCGGUACACUACGUUACCGGCAACCACUACGAAGUCGGAGUAAGCGUCGUAAGUAUGAUAAUACAUUUUUAAAUUUUUUCAGUAUAAUACUAUUAAUUUUGGCUGUAUUACCUGAGCUAUAUGGUUAUUUAGUACAUCGCAUACAAAAUUACGCGUCACAAAAUACCGGAUACAGUUCCGGAUUUGAUUUUCGCAGACAUCCCGUAAUAUAACACACGAGACGUAACCUGUUAGUACGCGAAUGCGUUAAAAAUGUAUGGUAAAUAUUAUGUAACAUAAUCGAAUACGUUCCCAAACCUCGAUUGCACGUAAAUAAUAACUGUCUGCUCAUUAUAUGAUUAAUAACUUACGGGGCUAUAAAUUUAAUAGCGAUAGGACUUUAAUCGGAAUAUACGCCAUUCGCGAAUAUUCGUUAUAGUUAUUAAACAAUCGGAAAUCACCUAUACCUCAGGAGUGGGAGUAACUGUGAUAAUAUACGUUCAAUGACCAUUGUGUUCACAACAGAACAAUAAAUCAUUAUGUCCGUAGAUAUUUUAGGCAUACAAUACAUACGUACAAUAUUUUACCGGUAGAUAAACGAAUUAUAAUGAUCAGAAUAGACAAAAACUGAUAUCGGUUCUACGAUUCGAAAAAAUCGUAUUUAUUAUUUAAAACCGUAAAAAGCAAUAACAGUAACAGUUUGUUAGUAAUGUUAAAAAUAAAUGUGAAUUUUAUCAGCGACCAUUUACAUUAUAUUUUAAUGAUGAAUUUAUUAAAAACGCUAAUGAAUAAAUCGCAGAAUAACUAAAAACAAUAUUUAUGUAUCGACAUUUAAUGUGUUAAUAUUCUUAAUGAGAUCACCGAAUAGAUUAUUAUUAUUAUUUUAGUACCUUUUGAAACAUAGACAAAUUCAGCAUUUAUAGUUUAUAUAAUCUCAAACAGUGUUUUCCGAAAAAAUAAAACAUAUAUUACUAUAACUAUUUACUUUUAAACUACACUCAGAAUGGCUGAAUUGUAUUCACCUUCCAUGGAUAAAUAUCCUAUGAUAAUAACCGGAGGUUAAGAGAUUUAAGCAUACCAAACAAUUUAAAAAUAUAAAUCGCAAAUAAAUUUAUGAAGCGAAAAAAUAUCAAAUAUUAGGUUGAAAAAAUUUGGACACCAUUCUCCCUCCCGUGUGNCAUAAAUAAUAAUUGUCUGCUCAUUAAUAACUAACGGGGCUAUAAAGAUAAUAGCGAUAGGACUUUAAUCGAAAUGUACCACCAUUCGCGAAAAUUCGUUAUAGUUAUUAUACGAAUGGAAAUUACCUAUACCUCAGGGGUGGGAGCGUUGUGAGCACAUUGCUAUAGUAUAUAGUAUAGUAGAAUAAGCCAUUUGCAUUAGAGAAUAAGAGUUAAAUUUAAUCAUUAAAAUGAUUUUAGUUACUAAUAAUCCUUAGAACUGUUUUGUUGUACUUUCUCCUAAAAUUGGAUCCUCACACUACCGUACAAAUAAAACAACCCGUACGAGCACAACUCGUACAGGCACAACAACUGGUGGCAGCGGUGUCGCGGUCAUAAUUUUGGGGAAGAAACAUCUGCAGAAAGAUAACUUGUAUAUCUUAUAUAUAUCUAUUCGAGGUAAUUUUUGUUUCCCUUUGCAAAUAUUAAAACGUAUUCGUUCGUCGUAGGUAUAUCGUCAUAAGGACCAUUAUAUACGAGGUGGUAUAUCAAUCGUUGUCGUCAAAUUGUCACGGGCGUUUAUGUGUUGUCAGCGACGCACGCACCGUUUUUAGUAGGCAGGCAUUGUAUUCGAUUUUGUGUUCCAUUCUUCACAUCUCCAUCGUCGGCGUCGCCGUCGCUGUGUCGUCAUCGUCAUCGUCACAUCGAUGUGAUACUGCGCCAUCCGCGGAUUGCCACCGUCGUGUUGCUAAAGUACCUGCCGUCGUGAUAAACUGUUACGCUAACACCGACGCACCAUGGUAUUCACUAUGCGGAUAAUGUUGUAAGCUAACUACUACUACUGAAUAUUAUUAUUGUUUUUUUUUACGUUGUAUCGACAGAUAUGAGUAUAAGACGUUGUCAUUAUUAAUAUUAUUACUAUAAGUAUUGAUGUAAACUAUUAUUUUGAUAUUAGUAGUGGUAUUAACUAUUUGGGGUGGUGAUGCUACGAUACUCUUAUUCAAUUAAUUUAUUAUUAUUAUUAUAUUUUUUUUUAUUGUGUAUAAAACUGAAUGCAUAUCAGGUCGGUUUAGUGGUGGUUAUAGUAUUUCCGAGAGUUCUGAUUUAGAUGAAAACUACGUCCCAUCGCGAACGAUUGUUAAAAAUCUAUUAGGAUCAUUUAGACCUAUUACUAGAUCACAGAGUUAAUCUUCAGAAGAAAACAUUAAUGAUGAUCGUAGGCAAUCGAAAAGUUUUAAUUCAAAUAUAUUAAUAGAUUUAAAAAUAAUACUCAAAUUUUAGAAUCUAAUAGCACAAUGGCACUUCUUCAACUAUAUUAUCCUUAGAGACUACAGUUAAAUUAAUUCCACAUUUCAAUGGGGAAAAUGUUCAGGAGGAGGUAUACCUAUUUAUAAAUGCAUGCAAUUUUGUCAUGAAAAAUGUUGUAAUGAGACUAUACAGCCUGUGCUCUUACAGGUUAUAAUAACCAAAUUAGCAGGCAAAGCUUUCGCAAUAAACCAACAUAUGGAAAUUUCCACAUGGAAGAUACUUAGGGAAAAUUUAGAAGGCACAUUCUGUGCUACACGCAUACCAGGAUAUCUUCAGUUAGAGCUUACUACGACUAAAUUCCAACAAGAAGAAACAGUACGAGAGUAUGCAGCAAGAGUAGAAAAACUAUUGCACGAACUCUGUAAUGUAAGCACAAAGGAUAAAACAUCCAGUGGCGUAAAAGCUAUAUAUAUCUACAUAAAAGAAACAACCUUAACUACGUAUAUUGAAGGUUUACCAUCUUCUAUUCGCAGUGUAGUGAAAUCAAAGAAUCACUCGACGCUAGAAGAAGCCAUAAAGGAUAGCCUAGAAGAAGAAAAAAUUUAUCAAUCAAAUAAAGGAAUCCAACGUUAGUUGAAUAACAAACCAAAUAAUAGAUAUGACAGUAAAUAUUGUAAAAAUUGCAGGAAAUCAAACCAUAAUACAAAUGAGUGCAGAUACGGAAAUCACAAUGUUGAUACUGGACAACAAAAUAAACAAUCCAAAGGAUUCAAUAAUCAAAGGAAUCAGGAUAUUAAACAAGUAUCAUGUAUUUAUAGCAAGAGAUUUGGUCAUAUAAUAGAAGUAUGCUAUAAAAAGAAAAUUGCAGAUUCAAGAAGGGAAAGUCAAGAUAACCCAUCAACGUCGGGAAACGCCAAAGAAUCGGUCAAAAGUGGCGUUCGUCCAAUUCGUGAAUUAAAAAUAAUAACCCAACACUAAAUGUUCUUCAAUUUUUCAAAAGCCGUAUAGACUUCCUUAUGCUCAAAAGGUAGAAAUAACUAAUCGAGUUGGAGAAAUGCUAUCUUAACACAGGAAAAAAUAGGAUCUGAUUUAUCAAUUGCAUGUGUCUCACGUACGUUAAAUAAGGUUGAGAAAAACUACAAUACAUCAGAGAAGGAAUUGCUAGCAAUAAUUUGGGCCGUCAAAAAGUUUCGUCCAUAUCUGUUUGGGCGUAAAUUCACAGUCGCAACAGACCAAUAUAUUACACUGUAAUUAUAUAGUUUGACUUACAUUAAAAUAAUAAUAGUAACCAAAAAUCCUUAGAACUGUAGUACUUUCUCAUAAAAACUAGAUCCUCACACUUCCGAACAAAUAAAACAACCCACAUGAGCACAAAAACUCGUACGGGCACAACAGGAAGUAACUAUGAUAAUAUUCAUGCAAUGGCUAUUAUGAUCACAUCAUAACAAUAUAUUAUUAUGUCCGUAGAUAUUUUAGGUAUACAAUACAUACAUACAAUAUUUUACCAGUAGAUAAACGAAUUAGAAUGAUCAGAAUCGAAAUGAACUGAUAGCGGUUUUUUAAAUCGAAAAAUCGUAUUUAUUUUUUAAAACCGUACAAUACGCAAUAUCAAUAUCAGUUAAUUAGAUAGUAAUGUUAUAAAUUAAUGUGAAUUUUUUAAGUGAAAUUUAUCAAUUUACAUUAUAUUUUAAUGAUGAGUUAUUAAAAACGCUAAUAAAUAAAUCGCAGAAUAAUUAAAAACAAUAUCUAUGUGUCGAUAUUUGUUAGCUGUUUUUAAAUUUUACAGGUAUAGAACAACGAUUGUUUAGUAUUGAGAUAUAACGUGAAAAAAUCGGAUUAUUUCAUUCAACAAGUGUUAAAAAAAAAAAAAAAAAUAUUUUGAGGAAUUUGUUGAAAAAAUUUUGAAAAUGUCGAAAAAUUAUAUUAAUAAAAUAGUUAAAGGGGAAUUUAAUGUAUUAAUAUUCUUAAUGAGAUCAACGAAUAGAUCAUUAUUAUUAUUUUAGUACCUUUUGAAGCAAAGACAAAUUCAGCAUUUAUAGUUUAUAUUAUCUCAAACAGUGUUUUCCGAAAAAAAAAAACCAUAUAUUACAAUAACUAUUUACUUUUAAACUACACUCAGAAUAGCUGAAUUGUAUUCACCUUCCAUAGAUAAAUAUCCUAUGAUAAUAACCGGGGGUUUAGAGAUUUAAGCUUACCAAACAAUUUAAAAAUAUAAAUCGCAAAUAAAUUUAUGAAGCGAAAAAAUAUUAAAUAUUAGGUUGAAAAAAUUUGGACACCAUUCUCCCUCCCGUGUGGUUUGUACAGACGAGUAUUAUUUCUUUAGGUUCGAUUCCCACAAAUGUUCAAAUGAGAUGAGUUUCUCUAUUGAUCCUUGAAGGGAAAAUUCGGAUACUUCCGGUCAAAGCUCUGAAUGAGUUUUGGAGAUUUAAACUAUUAGGGAUAAUAUUGUUGGUGGUAAACUUGAUUUAUUUUUCAUCGCAGGGACGGGUGUACGCCAACAUGAUCCAACAGUUUGUUAAAGCGUAUAAACCGCUCAAUGAUCAGCUAGCGGCGUACGCGACUCCGAAAGGCAAACAGAUUUACCAAGAGAGCUUGGAUUCUUGUAGGAAAUACUUCCCGCAGUAUGUGAUCGAGAUGGAGGGCAUGGCCGACGGAUCGGGAGUACCAUUCGAACAGGUAAUGUUAUUCGUUAAAAUUUGAAUGAUAAUAUGCUCCUUAAAUGGUCGUAAAAAACAAAUAUGUUAAUUUACAUUACGCAUAACGAACAAAUUAUUUUCAUGUUUACAAUUUUUUCCUUGGCGAGGUGAACUGCUGUCGAUUUAUGAAAGUACACCAAAAAUGAUGGAGAAAAUCUCGUUAGAGAGGGGAGUGGUCUAAAAUGUAUAUUUUUAAAUUAUGGGCAAUUAAAGAGUUUUCUAAUAAAACCGUACAUAUCACGCAUUUUUGCUGUAUAUUUUCAAAAUGUUUAAACUUAUAAACGUAUUUUGUUUAUUUUACAGCUAAUCAGUUGAUAAUUAAAUUAGAAAUGUACAAAUUAUUCUUAAAAUAUUGAAAAAAAAAUUAUUUUUUUUUCAAUAAUAUGUAUUUUUAAGAAAUAAUAAACGUGUAUAACUGGGGAAGGAGUCCAAUUUUCAUUGUAUUUACGCGCGAUUUUUUUAUAUACCUUUAAACUACAUCCGAUAGUACCAAAUUUCGAUAAACACAUCUAUGUUUCAGUUAUUUCUAAUGACUUUGGAUGAUACGCUACUUCUGAACAUGGAUGAUACUGCACCAGACCCAGGUCCAAUUGGAUGCACUUCAAUAUUAGUCAAUCAGAACAAUGCACAGGUAAGACAAAAAUAAUAAAAAAAUAUACGUACACUACUAGAAAUGCAAAAAUCUUUAUUUCUCGUAACUUGUAUUUUAAUUUUUAAUUUUUCUAUGAAAUCUCUUAUCCAUAUGAGCUCUGGAAAGGUCGAUGAAGUGAUUAGCAAGUGUCUGGCUGAUUAACUACAGAGUAAUAUUUUUCUCAUAAACCAGCAAUUUUUUCGCAAGAAGAUUUUAUGUAAAUUUGACGUCAUAUUUUUAAAAACUAAUAUUCAAUCGUUUAGCCGAUAUUUUAACACUAUUUAAAAUUUUUUUUUAUCACUACUCUUAAUGCUAAAAGUGAGUAUCAAAAAAAGAUUUUUAAAUUGCAAUUCCCUCCCACUAUUAAUCAUACUUUCCAAUAAAGAUUAUUUAGACAUUAAGUACAGUUUAACGUUUAAACCGGAGGAGUUGGGAAGAGUCAUCAAUUUAUUGUUUAAAAAUCGAUACAGAAUUUAUUACUCUCCCUUACUCCUUUAAACAGAUCUUGAAUUAUUGUAGCUCAUAAACAGUUAUUCUGAUAUUAUUGUUAUACAUAUCAACAUUUCUAGAAAAAUAUUCUCUGUUCAAAAUCUGUGAUUGAAAGGAGGAGGAAUAGCUGUUUAAAAUUCCUAAGUGAAUACUCAUCUCAGUUAUAGAGAAUAGGUAAAACUUACAAAAUUCCAUUAAGAUAAAAAAAAAAACCACAUAAAUAUCAAAUUUACAUUGGUUCGUGAUAAAAGAAUCACCUUGUGAAGUGAGAGUCUUCUAUUUCGUGUUCAGUUCAAUUUUUUUUUAAAAUUCCGAGGCUUAACGACUUGAGUGCUUAAAAUCUUUGUUUUCCAAGGUCUUGUUUGUGAUUUAGGAGUAUUUAAUAAAUAAGUACUUCACGUGACUGAAUAACAUGUUCUGCGUUGGAAAACACUGCUCAGGCUAAAGAUUUAUUGAAGAAACCAAAUUUGUAUCACAGAUAUAGUAGAAUUUGCACUGUGCAACAUUGAUUUUAUUUUUUCGACAAAAAAGAGUUAAUCCAGUUUGAAAUACUAAAGAAUUAUUGAAUUUUGGAGUUUAUAUUUAUCUGAAAAAAAAAAAAAUUAUAAUAUUUAUAUAAGCUUGACAUGUUUAUUGUCCAUGUGCUCACAACAAUGUUGGCGAAUAUUAUUAUUAUUACAUUUACACCAUCAUUCGUUACGUGACCGGUGAUAUCGAAGCUUAUUGUAAUCGCUACAGCCCAAUGUGACAAAAAUAGAUAUAAUAUUGCCCAAAAACCACAUAAUUUCACUGCAUAUGUCACUAUAAAAUAGGUGUCUAAACCAUUUACAGGACCAAUUUGAUUAUUUUUUACACAGAAUAUUUUUAUAAAAACUAAUCAUUCAGGGAAUUAACUAUAGAUAUACGUUUAUGGUUUUAAAUUUGACCAACUUUGAUACUGCAAUACAUCGCGUUAGGUGUUAACAUGUUCAUUGUGCAACGGAAAUGCCUGUAACGAUCAUUUGUUGCAAGUGUGGACUGUAGGGCUUUUACCGGUAACCUACGAUUUAGUAUGUGACACGUUCGGUUUUGGUCUAUUAUACAGUUUUUGGGCCACACCGAAGACGCGUUGAUCGAGACGGUUAACAACUAUAUCAUAUUAGCCGCGCACGUGGUCCCGAGCGAACGCGAGAAGGGCGGCAUUUUUGCUGCCAGAGAAGAGAAGUUUGAAGCACUCACCUACCUAGGACAUCUUUCUGGAUAUGCCAGUGGCCACAAUGUGUUUGGUGUUAUUUUCUCAGUCAACACGAUAUUCGCUAGCAAACCGCUCAGGGGCAGAAUUCGUGAGUUUGCUGUUUAUAUCCGUCUCUGUCGGGGAUAAUCUAUUUUAUUUUAACCUAACUUUAUUUUUUUCCAGCACGGGAAUUCAUCUGCAGAGCUUUGCUGGCCUCCGGGGCUGACUUGAACGAAGUCAUGUCAAUUUUGGUUAACCAGGGUUGUGGCACGGCCGAUGCGUUCAACGUCAACUUGGGUUUUCUAAAUGACCCCUUAGGAGAGCGGGUGUUUUACACGAUCGAAGUGGUCCCCGAUCCAACAGGUCCAUAUUCCGAAGCUUCCUUUACUAGCUUUUCGACGGGCUACAACUCAUUGCACACGAAUAGGUAUUUACUUUAUUGUAGUCGUGCGGGAAAAUAAUAAAGAUAAAAAGCUAUACUGAAAAUAUAACGAAAUAAAAAUUAUUUCCUUAUAGCCAAAAAUUAUUUUCAUCUACGGUUUCUCAUUCGUAGUCAGAUUUUUUCAAAAAACAAAGACAACUGUAGUCUUUGUGUCCUUUAUAUAUAAUACGAUAUGCAUUAUAUAUUUAUUCCAAUCUGUUAUAUGUGAAUAAAAAAAACUAAGGUGUGUAAAACUAAUUGUUUACUCUACACCAAAUGUGGUCAAAUUGUGGAAUUUGAUUUAGGUUUUAGGGUGAUUGAAAUUAUAAAAACUGUUUUUAAGUUUAACAUGAAUUUCACCAUGAUGUUGUUGUGGAACGAGGGUGGUUUUUAGAUUUGAAAACACCUAUACGACAUAAAGUUAGAUAAAUGCGAUUUUGUACUUGGUCAGUUGUAGCAUAAAAGAUGUGUUUAUUUGGAGUUGUAUACUUCAACUCACCCCUCUAUUAAUUAUAUGCUUAAAUAACACAAUUUUUCGGAAUAAGACGUAUUCCUUACAAGUAUUCUCCUAGUCAUCUAAACUUAAUCUCAUUGUAUUGGUAUUGUUAUAGUAUUCAGUUUUAGAUUCAGAACAUAGCGAGGGAUCUAUUGGUUUUUACUAUGAUUUGUUUUUUUUCGGUCUGUAAACAAUUUUUCGAAAAGAAUUCUUGCUCCCAUGUACUGGGUAUAUAGGGUAUACAUACAUGCAGAGUUGGUGCAAUUUGGAGUCCGUUUUUUGAUUUUCCAAUAGGGUUUACUAAAUAAUUGAGAAAAACUUAAAUGGAACUCAUUGGUAAAAAGGUAAAUAUUUACGGCGCCGUCAUAUCGUUAAUGAUUUCAUUUUUUUUAAUUAAACAAACUAUUUUUUCUUUUAGAAAUAAUGCUACACUCGAAAAAUGACUAAAUAUCGAUUUGCUUUCAUUUAUAUUAUAUUCAUUUUUAAGUUAAAUGUAUUCGUUUUUUUUUUCCAUUAAUAUUUUAAAAUCAAAUUUUGACGAAAAUCAUUAAAAUUACGGUAUUUCAAUAUAUGUCUUACCUCCGACUUUUCUCUGAAUUGUUUUUCUUUAUUAAUGGUUUAUCUUUGCGUACAAUUAUAAAUUAUACAAAUUUAUGAAUCCUACCUAUCCAACUUCCUACGCACAACAGUGGUUUCACCCGUCACUAAUAUCAGUAUUGUUUUUUUUUUAAAAAUAUUUCUUUAAAAUAAAUUAGGUAUUAGCAAGUUUGACUUCAAUGACGGAGAUAUGAUAAUCAAACGUUUUGUUUUUAUAUAGUAUAUUAUUUUUUAUUAAACUAUUUGACAUAAAUGUUAAAAAAAAAGUAUCGCAUACUAUUAUGUAGUUUUAUUAGUAACUUGAUAUUUAUAUUUACGUAAUUAUACACAUAAGCUAAUUUAUUUAAACCAUUUACAUAGGUAGUUUUUAAACAUAUUGUAAUCAGCGAAAAUAAAAUAAUUAAGGUUUUACGAAAUAAUAUGAAACAUAAUUCAAUUAAUAGAUGAAUUUUAGUGUAAUUUGAACAUGUUAAUUGAAUGUUAAAUGAAUAUCAUGAUGGGAUAACUUGUGCAAGGAACAUGGAAACAGGAACACAGGAACAUGGAAAGAUAGUGUUUCAGGGCACUUAAUUUGUCCGGCAAGAUUUUUAAAAAAGAAAACAAUUUUUGGCUUCAACCUCUUUGUAUCUAGAAUGUAAAAUUUUAAAAUUUGAAAUAGAAAUGCAUAUAUUUGAUAUCAUUAUCUUGGAAUUUUAAAUUCGUUACACAAAAACCGCAACAACUUACUUAAGAUUAUUACUCCUAUUAAAUUAACCAGAUGACCUUCAUAAUGACGAGAUUACUUAAAAAUAGAUCUGGCAAAAACAAGUUAUUAUUUUGUAAAGCAGAGAUGUUUAAAAAUUACUGUAAUAACGAUAAAAAAUCCAAGCAUUUUUAACGUCUUACUUUUUAUGUCAGCAAUAGGUUGAUGAAGAGUAAUUUUGAAAUCAAAAAAAAACACCCAAGUCUUUAAAAUGAUUUGUAUCGAAUGGUUUACUAUUUGGAUUAUAAUCGAAUGGAAUAAUAUCUUUAAAUAGUUGCAGACAAGUAUGGCUCAUUGAUUUAAAUUUUGCAAUAUCAUAAUCUUCAGAGCUUUAGGGCUUCCGAAUUCCAGAGUUAAGUCUUCACAUCUCUUAAAGGCCUAAUUGUAAGUAAAUAGCAAGCUCAUUAAAAAGUGGAGAUUACUUUUUGACUACGUGACAUUCUCCAAACUGAAAACCAAAUGUAAACGUCAAUCUAAGCAUGAAAACUCCCUUAUUAUUAGUAAUAUUAAACGUACCGUUUUAUCAAAUUCAUCCUAUUUUUGGACUUUUAAAAGAAAAUUGAUUUAUAAUCCACUAAUUCCAUCUGUAGUUGAUCUCCUUAAAAAUAUCUAGCUAUUCCAAGGAUACUGCAAAUUUAUUCUCCAAAUAUUUUUUGCCCAUAUUAUAACCUAUUUACCCACUACUUUCAAGACGUUCUCUAAUAAUAAAUAUCCGUAGUACCUACUAUCUUAUUGCUCCUUCUCCUCCGAAGACGUUCCAACUACCCUAGAAACUCUUAAAAAAAAAACUCUCCCAAUGGUCCAGAUGGAGUUUCUGAUUUAACUAUUGCUGUGCUAUUGCUCCCCCUAUUUAAGUUCAUUUUUAGAUUCCUUCGAUGAAGGAACCGUCUCCCUGGUGUGGGAAACCAGAUGUAUCACACUUGUUCUCAAUUUCAUAGAUCCUUCUGAUGUUUCUAUAUGUAUAGAUCCAUUCACACCAUAUGACAAUUAGCUAAGCUUUUCUAAACCAUUAAUUAUGUCUUUAUCGAAGGAUGUUUCAACUAUAUAAUACCGGAAAUCCAACAUUUACAUUCUCAAAAAUAGACAGACUCCUUCUCCGACUGCUAAGUUUUACAAUCGGAACUACUUCGGUUUGGUAAAACCAAUUUUUAAAUAUUGUGUGACAGUUUGGCAUCCACACUUGGUUUAAGAUUAACUGCGGAUAUCAAUUAAAAAUCUCACCUCACAAAUUAUACUUGCGUGCGUUCAAUCUUCAAUAUUUAAGUUUACUUCUCAUCAUAUUAAUACUAACUUCGUUUUCAUUUCCUAUGUUUUAAAUAGCACGCUUGAUACCCCUGAUUUACAAGCUUUGUCUUACUGCACGUUUCCACUCACCUCACUAGAAAUUUUUAUUUUUUAUUUUAUUUCUACCAAUCUCACUAUGAUUUACAAUAUUUCAAUUAUUCGUGAUAAUCUAUAUUUUUAUCGUAUAUUUUUUUAUAUAUUACUAGCUGACCCGGCCAUGCUUUGCUAUUGCUAGGUAAUAGUGUGAACAAUAAUAUCAAUAAUCAUAGUUUUUAUCCGUGAUAACUAAAUUGUCGUCUAUGUACCUUGGUGAAUAAGCAAAAAUAAAUAAAUGAACAAUUCGAUAUUAUUACCAAAAAAUAUCUAAAAACCUAUUUUUUCCCCUUAGGGAUUCAAUUUUUAAAAAUCUUUUCUUAGUGGAUUCUCACGUCAUAAUAGCUAUUUGUGUGCCAAAUUUCAACUGUUUCAUCCAUUCAUUAGGGCUAGGCGAUGAUGAAUCAGCUACUCAGUUAGGACUUGUUAUUUUGUAUAGUUAUAAAGAUUAUAGCGAACAUGUUAAAUAAGUAUAAUUCAUCAAUGAGUAUGAACUUGUCAUACUAUAAUAAGGUGUUGUAAUAAAUUCGUCAACCCCAACGUUAGCAUACAAUAUAAAUAUUAUUUUUUUGUCCGUUUCAGACUGCUUCAUCUGAAAUACCCGGAACUACACAACGAUGGUUACAAUGGCAGUGUGACUAGGGAAAUUCGGUACGAUAUAUUAACCGGACAAAUGCCAAACAAUAAGAUCACGAGUUUGGAAGAGCUGUUAACUGUACUCGGUAACCAGGAUGACAUGGGAAUAUAUCCAAUGUUCGGUGAUAGUGACACCGCACAUGUGAACACAAUAAACUUAGGUAAAUACAUUGUAUACAACGCUAUUUUAUUUGGAUAAGUACUUGCCGAAUGCUCAUUUAGACCCAUGAACUAAGAAAAUAUGAAGUAGUAACGACAAAGUAGCUGAAUGAUAGGAGUGAAGUCGAGUAUUUCGAGAGUCAGGAUAACAGCAAAUUAGUAGUAUUUAAUAGAAGAAUCUACGGCAUAGAAUAGCAAAACAUCGUACAAUCAACCAUGAGUUAGGGUUUUUUUCAGAAUUUAAAAAUGAAACUAGAAAUUUAAAUAUGUUUUAUUUUAAAAAUUCAUAAAACAUAAAUUUUAUUAACAAAUUGAUAAAAUAUUUUUUAUUUACCAAUUUAAAACUUAUGCAUAAAUAAUGAAUCUUAAAUGCUAUACAAUAGUUUUCUUACUUCUUUAGUUAGGGCCAUAUAUUUUACGAUUUGGCCAUGUACUAAAAUACAGUAGGGCACAUAUGCAUUUUAAAUUUUCUAAAGCUUUUUUUUUCGUUUUAUUAUCAAAAGAAGGAGCAGUUGCCGAAUCAUUGUAUUUUAAAGUAUCGAUAACGACAAUUGAACACUUUUCCAUAAACUGUUAAUGGCUCAAUAUGAGACUAAAAGUCCGGUUUCAUAAUUAGACCCUUGUAACGCUAUAUACAUGUAGUAUAAUUAUGUACAGUUAUAGAUCAUAAAUAAGGAUGGUUUUAUAGAAAUUUUUAUUUUAUUAAAAUUUUUUUUUUGAUUCUGCAUGAAACGAGAAAUUUACCGGUGUUUAUUUAUUUCUUUUUCUGUGAACAACUUUUUUAGCAGCAGUGUUGCUCUGAUUUACAAUGAUAGCAUUUUUUUUUUGAAAAAAAAAUCGUAUUGGAGAGGUCCGGGAAACCGGAAGAAAUAUAGGAAAAACGGAAAAAUAGGUCCAUUUUUAAACAAAUGCAUAAUAUGUAAUUAUUUUACCAUAAUAUAACAUAUAUAUUGUUGACAAAGCAUCACUAUCAACUGAACUCCGCAUAAAGUAAUAAGAUAUUAUCUAAAAAGGUAAAUUUUAAAUUUCUAGCUAGUUAGUGGCCAGCACUAGGGUAAUCGUGAUGUAAACAUGAAGGUGAUAUUUGUGAUGUUUUUAACGCCAUACUGCGUUAAAUAAAAAAGAAACACUGCGUUAUUAAUGGCUUUAAUGGCUAAUGCUAUUAAUUAUUAAUUUUAACAACCACCAGUUUCUUUCUUAGAAAUCGAUGAAAGAAUACUUUGUGAUAAUUUUUCCCAAUAAUUUUCCUAAUCGUAAGUACAACACCGGGUGAAUAAUUUGAGUUUUAUAAAUUGUUCAGUUUUUGGUAUUCUUGAUUGAACACUAUUGGACUCUAUGGGUGUAUUCCUGAUGUUAAAAAUGUUUUAAUGCGAUUUAUUUUCUAGAUGGUUAAAUUUUUUGUUUCGUGCUAGUCGUGUUGCAUAUAUAGGAACCCCUGAACAUGUUUUCAUCCGUUUUAUCCAAUGAUAAACCUCAGAUACUUCAGUCAAAUUAAUUAUUAAUAUACACAAUAUAAUUUAAUCUUUAAUUUAUUAUUAUUAUAAAUAUAAUGAUACAGGUGGAAGGGCAUGUGCUCUAUGGAAAUAUUUAGGUUAUUUUCGUUAUUUUAUCCUGUUAAGAAUAUGAGUACGUUAUAAUACAAUUGAUCUAUACUCAAGACAUCAUACAAUUAACCAACUGAUGUCGAGCUAUAAAUGUUUUCCAAUUAAUUUUCUUCAUAAGUAUAAAAUAGUGCAUAAUUAUGACAUAAAACUAAUGUUAGGAUUUAAGUCAAAAUCACAUUCAUUAGAGAGUAGUUAAAUGCAUUCUUGAUCAUCAUUCAUCGUGCAUAAAUAUUAUAACGAACGCGAUAAAUGCAGUAAUUCUAAAUCUUGAACAAAAUAAAUUUAUAAAUUUUAAUGAGUUAUGUUAUUAGCGUUUCUAGAAUUAAUUUCAAAAAAUUUCAAUUAUCAUGAUUUAUGAAUGUUAUGAAUUAUGACUAUUAAGCUUGUAGUUUAUAACAAAUUAUCGUUUUUUUAUUAUUUAUAGGUGUUUUCGACUUUGAAGAAAAAACUUGGACCAUGUGGUGUAAUGAUCCACUCAGAAACCAACCUCUGUUGCAGUUACCACUAACAUUUAAGGACCUAAUUUAUCCAACAUUGGAUGAACUCAUAAUCAACAACAUUAAAGAUGUUCAACCAGUUGUACUGAACGAUAAAGAAAUAAAAUAAAAUUAAACAUUGUAAGAUAUCAUAUGAUUUCGACGAAAAUCUUGUUUAGAUAUAUAGGUUAUAAUAUUGCUAAAUUAUUAUUAUUAUAUUAUGAAAUAUGGGAAUAUUGUUUUUUUCCAUUGAGCAUAUAUUAUUAACGAACUCGGUAAUAUCUUAGUGUAUUAUUAUUUUCAAGUUUAAUGUAGUAAAUAUUAAUUAAUAUAAUAAGACGUACAAAACAAUUUAAUUAAUUUCAAGUAAAGUUCAAAAUAUAAAUUUAAAUUAAGAUACUGCCUGCA